UCCGUAGGUGAACCUGCNGGAAGGAUCAUUAACACGUAUCCAACUCAAAACCUGAACUUACUGUGGAUCCUCUGAGUUUCGGCUCGGAGUGUAUCCGGGGAUGUCUGCUGGCGUAUGCUCGAGAGAGGUGCGUCGGUAGGCAUCAGUGUUAACCUUCUAACUUCGUCCGUUGGAUUGCAAAAAGUUGUAUCUCUUUACAACUCUUAGCGAUGGAUCCCUCGGCUCGGGUAACGAUGAAGGACGCAGCAAAAUGCGAUAGGCACUGUGAAUGGCAGAAUUCCGCGAAUCAAUAGAAUGCUGAACGCAUACUGCACUUUCCGGUUCGCCGGGAAGUAUGUCUGGUUCAGGGCUCUUAUACUAUCCUGCAAUCUGCAUUGCUUGGCUUCGGGCAGGCUUGGAGAUUGACGUUUCUGUGUGUCAGCGACGUGUAAUCCGUUGACGCAUCAAAUUCAGUAGUUGGUUCUGACUAAGUUCACUCGCUUGGUGGCGACUUCGGUCUUACUAGCGCGUUGGCUUUGUUAGGCGUGAUCGGCUACUUCAAAGCGACUUAAGGACUCGUCCUUUUUGUUCGGGCAUGAACUCAGAUAAGGCUACCCGCUGAAUUUAAGCAUAUCAAUA
RNAcentral lists this ribosomal RNA (618 nucleotides) under uncultured eukaryote. RNAcentral's name for it is "eukaryotic LSU rRNA". The stretch from base 199 to 352 matches the Rfam family "5.8S ribosomal RNA". The record is from RNAcentral.